RNAcentral lists this ribosomal RNA (490 nucleotides) under uncultured bacterium. RNAcentral describes it as "partial 16S ribosomal RNA". It matches the Rfam family "Bacterial small subunit ribosomal RNA", at positions 30 to 507 of the family's 1533-position model. The record is from RNAcentral.
AUUGAACGCUGGCGGCAGGCCUAACACAUGCAAGUCGAACGGUAACAGGAAGAAGCUUGCUUCUUUGCUGACGAGUGGCGGACGGGUGAGUAAUGUCUGGGAAACUGCCUGAUGGAGGGGGAUAACUACUGGAAACGGUAGCUAAUACCGCAUAACGUCGCAAGACCAAAGAGGGGGACCUUCGGGCCUCUUGCCAUCGGAUGUGCCCAGAUGGGAUUAGCUAGUAGGUGGGGUAACGGCUCACCUAGGCGACGAUCCCUAGCUGGUCUGAGAGGAUGACCAGCCACACUGGAACUGAGACACGGUCCAGACUCCUACGGGAGGCAGCAGUGGGGAAUAUUGCACAAUGGGCGCAAGCCUGAUGCAGCUAUGCCGCGUGUAUGAAGAAGGCCUUCGGGUUGUAAAGUACUUUCAGCGGGGAGGAAGGGAGUAAAGUUAAUACCUUGGCUCAUUGACGUUACCCGCAGAAGAAGCACCGGCUAACUCCGUG